RNAcentral lists this ribosomal RNA (429 nucleotides) under Acidobacteriota bacterium. RNAcentral describes it as "Acidobacteria bacterium partial 16S ribosomal RNA". It matches the Rfam family "Bacterial small subunit ribosomal RNA", at positions 355 to 776 of the family's 1533-position model. The record is from RNAcentral. Lineage: Bacteria; Pseudomonadati; Acidobacteriota.
UGGGGAAUUUUGGACAAUGGGGGAAACCCUGAUCCAGCCAUCCCGCGUGUGCGAUGAAGGCCUUCGGGUUGUAAAGCACUUUUGGCAGGAAAGAAACGUCAUGGGUUAAUACCCCGUGAAACUGACGGUACCUGCAGAAUAAGCACCGGCUAACUACGUGCCAGCAGCCGCGGUAAUACGUAGGGUGCAAGCGUUAAUCGGAAUUACUGGGCGUAAAGCGUGCGCAGGCGGUUCGGAAAGAAAGAUGUGAAAUCCCAGAGCUCAACUUUGGAACUGCAUUUUUAACUACCGGGCUAGAGUGUGUCAGAGGGAGGUGGAAUUCCGCGUGUAGCAGUGAAAUGCGUAGAUAUGCGGAGGAACACCGAUGGCGAAGGCAGACUCCUGGGAUAACACUGACGCUCAUGCACGAAAGCGUGGGGAGCAAACAGG